RNAcentral lists this ribosomal RNA (408 nucleotides) under uncultured bacterium. Its description in RNAcentral is "partial 16S ribosomal RNA". It matches the Rfam family "Bacterial small subunit ribosomal RNA", at positions 28 to 526 of the family's 1533-position model. The record is from RNAcentral.
AUUGAACGCUGGCGGCGUGCUUAACACAUGCAAGUCGAACGGAGUGGCGAACGGGUGAGUAACACGUGUGUGACCUGCCCUGCACUUCGGGAUAAGCCUGGGAAACUGGGUCUAAUCCCGGAUAGUGUGGGAUGGGCCCGCGGCCUAUCAGCUUGUUGGUGGGGUAAUGGCCUACCAAGGCGGCGACGGGUAGCCGGCCUGAGAGGGUGGACGGCCACAUUGGGACUGAGACACGGCCCAGACUCCUACGGGGGGCAGCAGUGGGGAAUAUUGCACAAUGGGCGGAAGCGUGAUGCAGCGGCGCCGCGUGGGGGAUGACGGCCUUCCGGUUGUAAACUCAUUUCACGAUUGACGCGGUAGAUGGAGAAGAAGCACCGGCUAACUACGUGCCAGCAGCCGCGGUAAUAC